RNAcentral lists this ribosomal RNA (538 nucleotides) under uncultured bacterium. RNAcentral describes it as "bacterial SSU rRNA". It matches the Rfam family "Bacterial small subunit ribosomal RNA", at positions 355 to 896 of the family's 1533-position model. The record is from RNAcentral.
UGAGGAAUAUUGCGCAAUGGGCGAAAGCCUGACGCAGCGACGCCGCGUGGGGGAUGAAGGUUUUCGGAUUGUAAACCCCUUUCAUGAGGAAAGAUAAAGUGGGUAACCACUUAGACGGUACCUCAAGAAGAAGCCACGGCUAACUUCGUGCCAGCAGCCGCGGUAAUACGAAGGUGGCAAGCGUUGUUCGGAUUUACUGGGCGUAAAGAGCACGUAGGCGGUUGGGAAAGCCUUUUGGGAAAUCUCCCGGCUUAACCGGGAAAGGUCGAGAGGAACUAUUCAGCUAGAGGACGGGAGAGGAGCGCGGAAUUCCCGGUGUAGCGGUGAAAUGCGUAGAUAUCGGGAAGAAGGCCGGUGGCGAAGGCGACACCCUGGCCCGAGACUGACGCUCAGGCACGAAAGCGUGGGUAGCAAACAGGAUUAGAUACCCUGGUAGUCCACGCCGUAAACGAUGAGUGCUAGGUGUUGUGGGUUACGGCCUGCAGCGCCGAAGCUAACGCGUUAAGCACUCCGCCUGGGGAGUACGGCCGCAAGGUUA